AAAAAAUUUAUUAAAUUAUAUUAAAUUAACUUUUAUUAAAACUGACAAGGCUAUAAUCUAUUUUUUAAAAGAAAUAUAAAAUUCCUUUAGUAUCAGGAUUUAUUAAAUUUUUUAAUAAAAUAUAUAUAUAUAUAUUUCCCGAAAAUGUAUGAUCUAUUAUUCUUUUUAAUUUUUGUUAAAAUAAAAUAUCUAAAUUAAUAAUAGUAGCUAAACACCUUACGAAUACAAUGAUAUCUGGUUUUUUAUUUUAAAAUAAAAUUCAACAACAUAUAAUAUAAUAAUAUAUUAUAUUCUUAUUUCUAUUAAACUUAAUUAUUGAAAACUAAAAGUAUUUACACAGUUUAAAAACUAUAAUUCACUAAACUUAUAUGUAUUUAAUAAAUAAAAUUUCAUAAGCAUUCAACAAUGAUUUAAUAAUUAGAUUUUUAUUUAAGCAAAAAGAAUUCAACAAAAGCUUAAUGACUGUUUACCAAAAACAUUUCUAUUAGAAUAUUCACUAAUAGUAAAAUCUGCUCAAUGAAUAUUAAAUAGCCGCAAUUUAGUGCUAAGGUAGCAUAAUCAUUUGUCUUUUAAAUGAAGACUAGAACAAAAGAUUUAACAUUUUAGCUUAUUUCUUUUUUAAUAUAUUAAAUUUAUCUUAAAAGUAAAAAGACUUUUAUUUAUUAGAAAGACGACAAGACCCUAUUGAACUUUACUUAAGUUUUACUGGGGCAGUAAAUUAAUUAUAAUUUUAAUUUAAUUAAAUAUUUAUCGAUCCAAAUAAUUGAUAACUCAGUUACCAUAGGGAUAACAGCAUAAUUAUUUUUAAAAGAACUUAUUAAAAAAAUAGAUUGUGACCUCGAUGUUGAAUUAAUAACCUAAUUGAAGCAAAAGUUAAAUAAGGAAGUCUGUUCGACUUUUAAAAAAUUGCAUGAUUUGAGUUCAGACCGGUAUAAGCCAGGUCGGUUUCUAUCUUCUAUAAUGUUUUUUGUAGUACGAAAGGACCUAAAAAUAUUUUAU
This 999-nucleotide ribosomal RNA is filed under the name Carrhotus xanthogramma. RNAcentral's name for it is "16S ribosomal RNA". The stretch from base 664 to 958 matches the Rfam family "Archaeal large subunit ribosomal RNA", at positions 2153 to 2718 of the family's 2987-position model. Lineage: Eukaryota; Metazoa; Arthropoda; Arachnida; Araneae; Salticidae. The record is from RNAcentral.